Molecule: unclassified non-coding RNA, 293 nt
Filed under: Hevea brasiliensis (rubber tree)
Lineage: Eukaryota; Viridiplantae; Streptophyta; Magnoliopsida; Malpighiales; Euphorbiaceae
Source: RNAcentral
GAGCGCUUGAUAAAGAGGAUCUUGGAGAUAUUAGAUCUCGGAGCAGUAAAGAUCAGCGAUCUGAUGCAGAGAAGAGAUCCAUAAGCAGUGUCAGAGUAGAGUCUGUCUCUGAUCGUGGAAGGUCUACCUCAAGGAAUGCUGAUGCAGAACUUACUCCACAAAAAAGCAGGUGGAAGUCUUCACCUAAUGCUGGACCUCAUAGUACAAGAGAUAAUUACAGGUUGUCAAAACAGGAAGAGUCCAAGUACAGGGAUUACCCGUAUGAAGAAAGGAUUCGACAUGGUGGAGCAUCU